RNAcentral lists this ribosomal RNA (253 nucleotides) under uncultured bacterium. RNAcentral describes it as "partial 16S ribosomal RNA". It matches the Rfam family "Bacterial small subunit ribosomal RNA", at positions 524 to 776 of the family's 1533-position model. The record is from RNAcentral.
UACGGGGGGGGCAAGCGUUGUUCGGAAUUACUGGGCGUAAAGGGCGCGUAGGCGGCUUUUCAAGUCGGGCGUGAAAUCUCCGGGCUUAACCCGGAAGGGUCGUUCGAUACUGUUGAGCUAGAGUGUGGAAGAGGCAACUAGAAUUCCGUGUGUAGCGGUGAAAUGCGUAGAUAUACGGAGGAAUACCUGAGGCGAAGGCGGGUUGCUGGGCCAACACUGACGCUGAGGCGCGAAAGCCAGGGGAGCGAACGGG